GACGAACGCUGGCGGCGUGCUUAACACAUGCAAGUCGAACGGAAAGGCCCUGCUUUUGUGGGGUGCUCGAGUGGCGAACGGGUGAGUAACACGUGAGUAACCUGCCCUUGACUUUGGGAUAACUUCAGGAAACUGGGGCUAAUACCGGAUAGGAGCUCCUGCUGCAUGGUGGGGGUUGGAAAGUUUCGGCGGUUGGGGAUGGACUCGCGGCUUAUCAGCUUGUUGGUGGGGUAGUGGCUUACCAAGGCUUUGACGGGUAGCCGGCCUGAGAGGGUGACCGGCCACAUUGGGACUGAGAUCCGGCCCAGACUCCUACGGGAGGCAGCAGUGGGGAAUAUUGCACAAUGGGCGGAAGCCUGAUGCAGCAACGCCGCGUGCGGGAUGACGGCCUUCGGGUUGUAAACCGCUUUCGCCUGUGACGAAGCGUGAGUGAGGGUAAUGGGUAAAGAAGCACCGGCUAACUACGUG
This 468-nucleotide ribosomal RNA is filed under the name uncultured bacterium. Its description in RNAcentral is "partial 16S ribosomal RNA". It matches the Rfam family "Bacterial small subunit ribosomal RNA", at positions 28 to 507 of the family's 1533-position model. The record is from RNAcentral.